CCGGCCGCCAGCGGCGCUCGCCAAAGUUCGAUUCGCCAAGGACCGGCCAGCGGGACGUCCGCGUUGGCGAGGUGCACUUUCUCCGCGGUCGAGUGCUACGACCGGUUUCGAGGCGGUCAGAAGCCCGGCGGAAAGGUAGCGCCGCCCUUCGGGGUGUCGUGUUAUAGGCCGCCGCGGUGGACUCGCCGCGAGACCGAGGACGCUUGCCGCGCCGAGCGGUCCCGGGCCGUCUUGGGAGGUUCGACCUCGGCUGCACUGCUCCGCAGAGCACCGUAACCGCCGCCCUAGCACGGGUCCGGAGACUGCCGGCGCCUCGGGUCAGUAGCG
RNAcentral lists this ribosomal RNA (327 nucleotides) under Corbicula sp. LB19b. RNAcentral describes it as "partial 28S ribosomal RNA". Lineage: Eukaryota; Metazoa; Mollusca; Bivalvia; Venerida; Cyrenidae. The record is from RNAcentral.